Mola mola (ocean sunfish) is the source of this 109-nucleotide ribosomal RNA. The record is from Ensembl. Lineage: Eukaryota; Metazoa; Chordata; Actinopteri; Tetraodontiformes; Molidae.
GCUUAUGGCCAUACCACCCUGAACACGGCCGAUCUCGGAAGCAAAGCAGGGUCGGACCUGGUUAGUACUUGGAUGGGGGACCGCCUGGGAAUACCAGGUGCUGUAAGCU